UACGGGGGGAGCAAGCGUUGUUCGGAUUUACUGGGCGUAAAGGGCGCGUAGGCGGCCACCGCAAGUCGGUUGUGAAAUCUCUGGGCUUAACCCAGAAAGGUCAACCGAUACUGCGGGGCUAGAGUGCAGAAGGGGCAACUGGAAUUCUCGGUGUAGCGGUGAAAUGCGCAGAUAUCAGGAGGAACACCAAUUGCGAAGGCAGCUCGCUGGGACGUAACUGACGCUGAGACGCGAAAGCGUGGGGAGCGAACAGG
RNAcentral lists this ribosomal RNA (254 nucleotides) under uncultured bacterium. RNAcentral describes it as "partial 16S ribosomal RNA". It matches the Rfam family "Bacterial small subunit ribosomal RNA", at positions 524 to 776 of the family's 1533-position model. The record is from RNAcentral.